This 465-nucleotide ribosomal RNA is filed under the name uncultured bacterium. RNAcentral's name for it is "partial 16S ribosomal RNA". It matches the Rfam family "Bacterial small subunit ribosomal RNA", at positions 28 to 507 of the family's 1533-position model. The record is from RNAcentral.
GACGAACGCUGGCGGCGUGCUUAACACAUGCAAGUCGAACGCUGAACCCGCUUCGGUGGGGGAUGAGUGGCGAACGGGUGAGUAACACGUGGGCAACCUGCCCCCGGCUCUGGGAUAACUCCAAGAAAUUGGGGCUAAUACCGGAUGUGACCGCUGGCCGCAUGGUCUGGUGGUGGAAAGGGUUUCCGGCUGGGGAUGGGCCCGCGGCCUAUCAGCUUGUUGGUGGGGUAGUGGCCUACCAAGGCGACGACGGGUAGCCGGCCUGAGAGGGUGACCGGCCACACUGGGACUGAGACACGGCCCAGACUCCUACGGGAGGCAGCAGUGGGGAAUAUUGCGCAAUGGGCGGAAGCCUGACGCAGCGACGCCGCGUGGGGGAUGACGGCCUUCGGGUUGUAAACCUCUUUCAGCAGGGACGAAGCGCAAGCGACGGUACCUGCAGAAGAAGCACCGGCCAACUACGUG